AGGACGAACGCUGGCGGCGUGCUUAACACAUGCAAGUCGAGCGAGGCCCUUCCUUCGGGAAGGUGUCCUAGCGGCGAACGGGUGAGUAACACGUGGGCAACCUGCCCUCAGCUCUGGGAUAACUCCGGGAAACCGGGGCUAAUACCGGAUACGACCUCUAAGGGCAUCCGAAGAGGUGGAAAGUUUUUCGGCUGAGGAUGGGCCCGCGGCCUAUCAGCUUGUUGGUGGGGUGACGGCCUACCAAGGCGACGACGGGUAGCCGGCCUGAGAGGGUGACCGGCCACACUGGGACUGAGACACGGCCCAGACUCCUACGGGAGGCAGCAGUGGGGAAUAUUGCGCAAUGGGCGAAAGCCUGACGCAGCGACGCCGCGUGAGGGACGAAGGCCUUCGGGUUGUAAACCUCUUUCAGCAGGGACGAAGCGAAGUGACGGUACCUGCAGAAGAAGCACCGGCCAACUACGUGCCAGCAGCCGC
RNAcentral lists this ribosomal RNA (477 nucleotides) under uncultured bacterium. RNAcentral describes it as "SSU rRNA". It matches the Rfam family "Bacterial small subunit ribosomal RNA", at positions 26 to 518 of the family's 1533-position model. The record is from RNAcentral.